UACACAAACAGGUGCAGGAAGAAGGAAUCAAAUCGGCUUCUGCCACAUAAUUAUCUACACCUGAGAGGGGCAUGGCGUUUCCAGGCAGUCACCACGGGUGAGCCCAAGAGCUGCAGCAUGGCUCUCCGAUCUACGAAAAGGCAGGACCUCUCACUGUCCACUGUGUCCACACUGAACAGGUUCCUCCAACUAAUAGCCAAGAGUAACAAAUGGCGGCUCCUUCCGACGUCCGUCAUGCGCCGUAUUAAGGCCUCUGAUCGUUUCGGGGGCUUCCGAAUAUAUAUAAUUCAUUAAUCAACCAGUUCAACCUUUCAAACGAAGAACAGAACUUCCUGAUACGUUUUUAAUUGGUUAUUUUUACAGACGAAUUGAAAAUGAUUGGUUCCCUACAAUUAAUAGAUAUGAUUGGUGUAAGGCAGUGGUGUCAAACUCGUGCCAUGGAGGGCCGUGUGUAUGCAGGUUUUCAUUCCAACCAAUUAAUGCUGCCUUAAUUGAGUCCAAUUACUCAUUCAGCCAUAUGCGUUUAACUGCAUUGAAGCACAGAAUAUAAGAACAUUUUUAUUUAGACAAUGCGGGUCACCAUAGACGUCGGGUCACCAUUGUGCACAAACCUGCAUCCCUAAUUCAGCAAAUAAUUUAACUAAUUAUAUAAUCAAGAUCUGAGGCUGGAAUGAAAACCUGCAUACACACGGCCCUCCAUGGCACGAGUUUGACACCACUGGUGUAAGGUAUUCCCGCAGAAAGGAAAAUGCGAGAGAUCGACGUGACCGCGAGCGUUGGCUACAAAUGAGCUUGCUAGUCUAUUUAUUCAACGGAGCAAGUUAUGCAAUAACUAUUUGAAGUACAUAUUCGCGUUUCGGUCUUCUAUUGUAUUGACACACAGGCUACAUUCGCAAUUUUUGUACGUGAAAUAAAGGCUAGCUUUACUGUCAGCAACUAUACGGAAACGUUAGGCAGAGGUGGUGUUACCAAUUAGCUUUCGUUAGCUACGGCCAUCUACACAGCUGGUGCACCUUCCCCGAGACUGCACAGAGAAGGAAGGAAAAAAACUCCGAAAUGAAGCUUGAGGCCCAGAUGAAGUCAAGUGCUCACACCCACAUAUUCUACCCAGCCGGCGUGACUGCACUGGCUAAAUCCAGGACACUGGCAGGAGCUGUCAUCUUCUUCUUCAAUGGUGUUUAUUGCCGGCUUGUAACAUACAUGGAAGGUGCAUUACCGCCACCUACAGUGCUGGAGUGUGGAGCAGAUUAGGCCAGUAGGCAGAUCCUAUAGCCCAAACCCAUUUCUAAUAGAUGUUGCAGUACGGCCGUAUAAUUCCUACUUGAACCUUCCGCCUCACCCAAAAUGUCUCUGAUAUCACUUACCCUACCACAGCCCUCCACUGUCCUGUUAAAUGACGUCGUUCUUUCAUUGACAAAUGUGCCACGUGACAUUACAUGCUGAACCGUCUCUGGUACCAUAGACAUCUCACACACCCCAUCUACGUGUCUCCCCUUCAGCCACAAACCAGAAUUCAGCCCAGUGUGCCCCAGCCUUACCCCGCCCUUCAGUACCCCUCUUUCCUGUUUACCCCCUAGCCUGCUUUGCCCUAAUGGAGUUCUGCAGUUUGUACAGCCGUCUGCCAUCUUUGCCAUGGCUCCCCUGCUCCUGCCACUCUGCCACACAGCCGGCCUGAUGAUCCUAAUGGGACCUUAAUAUCAAUCACUUCCUGCUUUAAUGCCUUUUUUGGCUAUUUGUCUGCUACUUCAUUUCCGGCUGGAUCCAUCUGUUUUUGGUUCGGGUGUCUGGUAAAGCCGGUUCAACUAGCUUUAGCUAACUACUCAGCCUGCGGUGCUGUAAUAACUUGUUUAGCCAGCAGGCUAAUAACGGGUAAGAAUGUCUUGCGCAGGUGCUACAUGAAUGAGCACACGGGUCACAUACUCCGCGUUGUGUCCAGUAAGGGGCCGGUAGUCGGUACAUGAAAUGACACCUGGAGCGGGAACGGGUGGAUGCCGGUAGCACAGUGGAAAUAGCCAGCACCGCUACACCGGCAAACAUGCAGCCAGCUGCCCUCGGAGAACCCGCCGGGACCCCACAGGGACCCCGCGAGAACCCACCGGGACCCUGCCUGAAACCCGCCGGGACCCUGCCUGGAACCCGCCGGGAACCCGCCAGGACCCUGCCACGACCCCACCGGGGCCCUGCCAGGACCCCGCCAGGACCCCGCCAGGAACCCGCCAGGAACCCGCCAGGAACCCGCCAGGAACCCGCCAGGAACCCGCCAGGAACCCGCCAGGACCCCACAGAGACCCCAUCAGGAACCUGCCGUCCGCACGGCCGUCUCUGCGCCGAUUUGGCGGGUCGGCACCGGGGUGGCCCGCUCGCAGACGGGUCAGCUGAGGUAGAACCCGUUAAAGCGAAGCAGUUGGCGGAUGUGUCUGGCGGUAGUGCUGAUCUGCAGAGCGCUGCCGGGCCGACCGUUGGCACCGCCGCGGGCCCGAUGGCGGCUCGCCGGCUGUGCAUUAAUCAUUAGAGUCCGACUGCUGUCUCCCAGCGCCCGGACUCAGCAGUUGCUGCUGUUGGCACGCUGAAGUAGACUUAGGUAACGAGAUUAAUGUUUUUAUUGCCUACAAGUUGUAGGCAAUAUUUUUUGCAAAUCACGGCAAUAUUUUAAAGGUACGGAGCAUAGAGGUAGAAGUUAGAAGUUAACUUGGGUAGAAAUAUUAUCACGCCAAGAAUCCCACCAAUAGCAUCACUAGGGUCAGGGUCCCCAAUCCUGGUCCUAGGGGCCCACAGAGUCUGUAGGGUUUUACUUUCACCCUACCAUAAGAACCCAGUUUAGACCCAAGAACCCGGGUGUGUAAUCACCUGGCCUUUUAUGCUGGGAAAGUGUAGCUGACUCAUCUGCUCUUAACAAAAACUUCUGGGAUGCAACCCCACCUGGAUACCCUUCAUUUCCAAUGAUAUAGACAAUUUUCCUUCAUCAAUUGUUAUACUAAUAAAUUUAAAACAUUGA
Molecule: long non-coding RNA, 2995 nt
Organism: Anguilla rostrata (American eel)
Lineage: Eukaryota; Metazoa; Chordata; Actinopteri; Anguilliformes; Anguillidae
Exons: 2
Source: RefSeq, a predicted model, not a curated record